UAGGGAAUAUUGCGCAAUGGGGGAAACCCUGACGCAGCAACGCCGCGUGAGUGAUGAAGGAUUUCGGUUCGUAAAGCUCUGUUGCAGGGGAAAAACAAAAUGAUGGUACCCUGUGAGGAAGGGACGGCAAACUUCGUGCCAGCAGCCGCGGUAAUACGAAGGUCCCUAGCGUUGUUCGGAAUUAUUGGGCGUAAAGCGCAGGUAGGUGGCUUUGCAAGUCAGGUGUGAAAGCCUGGGGCUUAACCCCAGAAGUGCACUUGAAACUGCUUAGCUUGAGUACGGGAGAGGUGAGUGGAAUUCCUGGUGUAGUGGUGAAAUACGUAGAUAUCAGGAGGAACACCGGUGGCGAAGGCGGCUCACUGGCCCAGUACUGACACUGAGCUGCGAAAGCAUGGGGAUCAAACAGGAUUAGAUACCCCCGUAGUCC
This 427-nucleotide ribosomal RNA is filed under the name uncultured bacterium. RNAcentral's name for it is "bacterial SSU rRNA". It matches the Rfam family "Bacterial small subunit ribosomal RNA", at positions 355 to 796 of the family's 1533-position model. The record is from RNAcentral.